Molecule: ribosomal RNA, 433 nt
Filed under: uncultured bacterium
Lineage: Bacteria
Description: partial 16S ribosomal RNA
Rfam family: Bacterial small subunit ribosomal RNA
Source: RNAcentral
AACGAACGCUGGCGGCAUGCCUAACACAUGCAAGUCGAACGAGACCUUCGGGUCUAGUGGCGCACGGGUGCGUAACGCGUGGGAACCUGCCCUUAGGUUCGGAAUAACUCCCCGAAAGGGGUGCUAAUACCGGCUAAUGUCUUCGGACCAAAGAUUUAUCGCCUUUGGAUGGGCCCGCGUUGGAUUAGCUAGUUGGUAGGGUAAAAGCCUACCAAGGCGACGAUCCAUAGCUGGUCUGAGAGGAUGAUCAGCCACACUGGGACUGAGACACGGCCCAGACUACUACGGGAGGCAGCAGUGAGGAAUAUUGGACAAUGGGCGAAAGCCUGAUCCAGCAAUGCCGCGUGAGUGAUGAAGGCCUUAGGGUUGUAAAGCUCUUUUACCCGGGAUGAUAAUGACAGUACCGGGAGAAUAAGCGCCGGCUAACUCCGUG